AGUGAACGCUGGCAGUAGGCCUAACACAUGCAAGUCGAACGGCAGCACAGUAAGAGCUUGCUCUUACGGGUGGCGAGUGGCGGACGGGUGAGGAAUACAUCGGAAUCUACUUUUUCGUGGGGGAUAACGUAGGGAAACUUACGCUAAUACCGCAUACGACCUACGGGUGAAAGCAGGGGAUCUUCGCACCUUGCGCGAUUGAAUGAGCCGAUGUCGGAUUAGCUAGUUGGCGGGGUAAAGGCCCACCAAGGCGACGAUCCGUAGCUGGUCUGAGAGGAUGAUCAGCCACACUGGAACUGAGACACGGUCCAGACUCCUACGGGAGGCAGCAGUGGGGAAUAUUGGACAAUGGGCGCAAGCCUGAUCCAGCCAUACCGCGUGGGUGAAGAAGGCCUUCGGGUUGUAAAGCCCUUUUGUUGGGAAAGAAAAGCAGCAGGUUAAUACCCCGCUGUUCUGACGGUACCCAAAGAAUAAGCACCGGCUAACUUCGUG
RNAcentral lists this ribosomal RNA (492 nucleotides) under uncultured bacterium. RNAcentral's name for it is "partial 16S ribosomal RNA". It matches the Rfam family "Bacterial small subunit ribosomal RNA", at positions 29 to 507 of the family's 1533-position model. The record is from RNAcentral.